RNAcentral lists this ribosomal RNA (262 nucleotides) under uncultured Actinomycetes bacterium. RNAcentral describes it as "uncultured actinobacterium partial 16S ribosomal RNA". It matches the Rfam family "Bacterial small subunit ribosomal RNA", at positions 236 to 510 of the family's 1533-position model. Lineage: Bacteria; Bacillati; Actinomycetota; Actinomycetes. The record is from RNAcentral.
GCCUAUCAGCUUGUUGGUGGGGUAAUGGCCUACCAAGGCGACGACGGGUAGCCGGCCUGAGAGGGUGAUCGGCCACACUGGGACUGAGACACGGCCCAGACUCCUACGGGAGGCAGCAGUGGGGAAUAUUGCACAAUGGGCGGAAGCCUGAUGCAGCGACGCCGCGUGGGGGAUGACGGUCUUCGGAUUGUAAACCCCUUUCAGUAGGGACGAAGCGCAAGUGACGGUACCUGCAGAAGAAGCACCGGCUAACUACGUGCCA